GAUUAUGGCUCAGGAUGAACGCUAGCUACAGGCUUAACACAUGCAAGUCGAGGGGCAUCAGGACGAUAGCUUGCUAUUGUUGCUGGCGACCGGCGCACGGGUGAGUAACGCGUAUCCAACCUUCCCCAUAGUAGAGGAUAGCCCGGCGAAAGUCGGAUUAAUACUCUAUGUUGUAUAAUGAUGACAUCAGACUUAUACCAAAGAUUCAUCGCUAUGGGAUGGGGAUGCGUCUGAUUAGAUAGUAGGCGGGGUAACGGCCCACCUAGUCGACGAUCAGUAGGGGUUCUGAGAGGAAGGUCCCCCACAUUGGAACUGAGACACGGUCCAAACUCCUACGGGAGGCAGCAGUGAGGAAUAUUGGUCAAUGGACGGGAGUCUGAACCAGCCAAGUAAGCGUGCAGGAUGACGGCCCUAUGGGUUGUAAACUGCUUUUAUACGGGGAUAAAGUGAGGGACGUGUCCCUUAUUGUAGGUACCGUAUGAAUAAGGACCGGCUAAUUCCGUGCCAGCCGCUGC
This 515-nucleotide ribosomal RNA is filed under the name uncultured bacterium. Its description in RNAcentral is "bacterial SSU rRNA". It matches the Rfam family "Bacterial small subunit ribosomal RNA", at positions 15 to 518 of the family's 1533-position model. The record is from RNAcentral.